This 178-nucleotide non-coding RNA is filed under the name Marinomonas spartinae. RNAcentral's name for it is "Marinomonas sp. FMN sequence". It matches the Rfam family "FMN riboswitch aptamer (RFN element)". From Rfam's summary of the family: The RFN element is a highly conserved domain that is found frequently in the 5'-untranslated regions of prokaryotic mRNAs that encode for flavin mononucleotide (FMN) biosynthesis and transport proteins. This element is a metabolite-dependent riboswitch that directly binds FMN in the absence of proteins. In Bacillus subtilis, the riboswitch most likely controls gene expression by causing premature transcription termination within the 5' untranslated region of the ribDEAHT operon and precluding access to the ribosome-binding site of ypaA mRNA. Lineage: Bacteria; Pseudomonadati; Pseudomonadota; Gammaproteobacteria; Oceanospirillales; Oceanospirillaceae. The record is from RNAcentral.
AUCGAACUUCGGGGCGGGGCGAAAUUCCCCACCGGCGGUGAUUUGCUUGAUUGAAUAAUCCAGUAAACAGCCCGCGAGCGCCUUGUUGCUUAAAGAUAUGUCUUUUUAGCAACAAGGGUCAGCAGAUCUGGUGAGACUCCAGAGCCGACGGUUACAGUCCGGAUGAUAGAAGAUCGAC